Molecule: long non-coding RNA, 2511 nt
Organism: Anas platyrhynchos (mallard)
Lineage: Eukaryota; Metazoa; Chordata; Aves; Anseriformes; Anatidae
Source: RefSeq, a predicted model, not a curated record
AUACUUGCCUGAAAUUGGAUUAGUUCUUUGCUGUGACUGAAGCUACAGUGACAGCUUCCUAAAGGUGGCUGGGCAAUAGACCUUGCCCCAUGGUUUUCCUACGAAGUACAAGUCAGUUCAUACCUUAAAAAAUCAGGAUAGCUGAUAGCUAGCACAGACUGAAACAAGAUUUCAGGUCUUCAACCUAUGCUGUGAAGAAUUAAUUGAUAUCCUAAGAGUUAAGUGUUGUCUUCUUUCCCACCAGUGUGGAUAAGGAAGCUGAAGGGAGAUGACAGAGUGCUUACCUGGGCGACUUGCCUGUCUCCAUGACUGCUGCAGACAGAAUUCCUACUCACAAAAGAGGAGACACAGGGAAUAGGUCAGCCUUCUCCCAUAGCUGAUGGGUACCACUGAGGAUCCUGUUAUAAACAAAGAGUGCACAUUACUUUGCUCUUUUCCAGGCUUUCUUCCUGUCCUUGUCCUGGCUUUCCACAUCGGCCGAGUCAGCACCUCUUGGACUGCAGUGAAGUUUCUCUCUGGCUUGCAUCCAGUGAGCUUUCUGCCCAUGGAAAUCACCUUGGUGAGGAUGCUGGGACAAGCCAGGUCUUCCACAGAGUAUGGAAUCAGGCCAUCACCUGGCUCAACAUGGUCCUCUUGGUCCUCUUCCCACAGCUUUUUUUUCCUUCUAGUUCCCUGAACCCUGUGUGCCUGGCCAGUCUUCUCCUGUCCUGUUAUUGUGAUUUGUACUUCUUGCUCAUUCAAAGUGGGUCUGCUCCCUCCCUUGGGUUGCAUAGGUACCACCAAAGGCAUAAUUGAGCAUAAAUACUUUGCUUGUCCCAGAUAGGUCUGGAAUGGCUGAGAAAGGUGUUCAGGGGACUUUCCCUGUACUUUGGUACACUGAAGGUCCUCUGGGUUGUGUCAGUGAGGGAGCUGGGUGCAGUGUGCUCAGGAAGGGCUGGACCUCUGGGCAUUGAAGAUGUCAGAUACUCUACAGAGCAUCUAUGGGGAACCGUGAAGCUUAGCUGAGUUUAGAGGGGUUCCCCUAUGAGACUCUGUGCAAAGGUAAAAGUCACAUUCCUGACACCAGCUUUCACUUUCUAUGGCACUUCAAACCACUCCUCCAAAGCAAGGGGCAAAAAGGCAGAAAGAAAAGCAAGGAACAAGACCAUUUUUUGGCUAUUUUUGUUCUUGGAAAUGGUUGGCCUCUUCUUGCUAAACUUUACCGGAAGGAUCAGUCAAAAUUAGAUAUCACAUAUGGAAAAUUUCAGUCCAGACAGAUGAAGUUUUGCAAGAAAUAAUUAGCUCAGAAGUGGGCCUUUGAAUAGGAAAUGCUCAGCCACCUUCGUAGCAGGCAACACUACUAAAUUUGCUAUGACUAAGCCUUGGUAUUGAUUUUGUUGGCUGGUAGUGGAGAGAUAGUUUGUCUGACUCCUGUAAUUUAAUUCAGUUAAUUAGAACAAAUGGCUAUGUCAUUUGCCAGGACCACUGCCUACUUGCCUGUUUUCUUUUUCCACGCAUAACUUCUCGUAUGCUGCCACAAGAACCAUUAAACCACGGAAUAAAGUUCCCACAAACCGACACUGUCUUUUUAUAUCUGAAUUCUAUCUCUUUGCUGAAGCUAAGCCAAAUGUUUAACUAACCACACUGUAUGAUUUCCAAGACUCCCAAUGGGAACUGCCCCUAUCCAAUUAGGGUAUUUUAGUCAUGGUGCUACUAGUGCGGAGGGUCACACAGUGCGAGGGCCUCCCUUUAAAAAGAAGAUAGCUGCAGUGGCUGUUUAUGUUUGCUUGGUGAGUCACAGGCUGUGGAGAUAAGCUUCAGAGUGAAUGAGACAAGGAGUCUAGGUUUGGUAACCUUGCCAGACUGCAUCUUAAGCCAUUUGCUGCCUGAACAUGUCUCCGUCCUGACACCAGGUUUUCAGAGUUGUCAGUCAAAGGGCAUUUUAAAGCAGCUAAGCACAGGUUUUGUGCUAUCCUUUGUCACCUUGUUUUUCAGUUUAAGAGGCAGCCAGCUAAAUCUGUUUCUGAGUAUUGUAGAUGAUGUUGCACUCAGGGGCUGUUAGUGUAGGGGCAGAUGUGGAAUAAGGCUUUUCUCCCUCUGCCUCUCUCCAGAGAGGAAAUUCAAUCAAGCUGUUAUUUUGCUGUAUCUAGAAAAUAGGAAACUUCCUGUGUUGUUCACAAAGGGUGGUGCUGAUUAGGAGAAAAUUGGUACAAAGAGUGCUCAGCUGGAACGGGAACAAAGGAGAGGUGACAAGCCCAGGACAUGUUUCCACAGUGAACAUUGCUGUACAGGGCCAUACCAUGAGUUUUUCUGCCCCGGCUCUUCAUUCCAGCAUAAUCUUUUUCUUCAUCUCCUCCUCCUCCUCCAGGGAGCCUCAUCUACGCCCCACAGGAAUGCUACUCAUCCGUACGGCAGGGCAGGGAGCCAGGAGGGCUGCCUUUAGGGGCAGGUGGGGAAAGCCCAGCUCUCCUCCCACCCUUUGUCUCUGCUGCUGAGCACCAGGAGUUGCUUUUGGAGCAGGUGGUGGAGUCA